GACGAACGCUGGCGGCGUGCUUAACACAUGCAAGUCGAACGGAAAGGCCCUGCUUUUGUGGGGUGCUCGAGUGGCGAACGGGUGAGUAACACGUGAGUAACCUGCCCUUGACUUUGGGAUAACUUCAGGAAACUGGGGCUCAUACCGGAUAGGAGCUCCUGCUGCAUGGUGGGGGUUGGAAAGUUUCGGCGGUUGGGGAUGGACUCGCGGCUUAUCAGCUUGUUGGUGGGGUAGUGGCUUACCAAGGCUUUGACGGGUAGCCGGCCUGAGAGGGUGACCGGCCACAUGGGGACUGAGAUACGGCCCAGACUACUACGGGAGGCAGAAGUGGGGAAUAUUGCACAAUGGGCGGAAGCCGGAUGCAGCAACGCCGCGUGCGGGAUGACGGCCUUCGGGUUGUAAACCGCUUUCGCCUGUGACGAAGCGUGAGUGACGGUAAUGGGUAAAGAAGCACCGGCUAACUACGUG
Molecule: ribosomal RNA, 468 nt
Filed under: uncultured bacterium
Lineage: Bacteria
Description: partial 16S ribosomal RNA
Rfam family: Bacterial small subunit ribosomal RNA
Source: RNAcentral